AACGAACGCUGGCGGCAUGCCUAACACAUGCAAGUCGAACGAGAUCUUCGGGUCUAGUGGCGCACGGGUGCGUAACGCGUGGGAAUCUGCCCUUUGGUUCGGAAUAACAGUUGGAAACGACUGCUAAUACCGGAUGAUGACGAAAGUCCAAAGAUUUAUAGCCAGAGGAUGAGCCCGCGUAGGAUUAGCUAGUUGGUGUGGUAAAGGCGCACCAAGGCGACGAUCCUUAGCUGGUCUGAGAGGAUGAUCAGCCACACUGGGAUUGAGACACGGCCCAGACUACUACGGGAGGCAGCAGUGGGGAAUAUUGGACAAUGGGCGAAAGCAUGAUCCAGCAAUGCCGCGUGAGUGGUGAAGGCCUUAGGGUUGUAAAGCUCUUUUACCCGGGAUGAUAAUGACAGUACCGGGAGAAUAAGCUCCGGCUAACUCCGUGCCAGCCGCCGCCGUAA
RNAcentral lists this ribosomal RNA (449 nucleotides) under uncultured bacterium. Its description in RNAcentral is "partial 16S ribosomal RNA". It matches the Rfam family "Bacterial small subunit ribosomal RNA", at positions 29 to 523 of the family's 1533-position model. The record is from RNAcentral.